ACUUUAUGAUUUGGGAAUUGAGCUAGCUUACCAUUAAACCUCUCCCAAGCUUCAAACAAUGGUUCUCCAUUUAUUUGUCAAAAAUUUACAAUCUCAUCCCUCUUUU
This 106-nucleotide small nucleolar RNA is filed under the name Capsicum annuum. RNAcentral's name for it is "Plant small nucleolar RNA R71". It matches the Rfam family "Plant small nucleolar RNA R71". From Rfam's summary of the family: R71 is a member of the C/D box family of snoRNAs containing the C (UGAUGA) and D (CUGA) box motifs. Multiple nearly identical copies of this snoRNA have been identified in Arabidopsis, and it is thought to function as a 2'-O-ribose methylation guide for 18S ribosomal RNA. The record is from Rfam by way of RNAcentral. Lineage: Eukaryota; Viridiplantae; Streptophyta; Magnoliopsida; Solanales; Solanaceae.